This 329-nucleotide ribosomal RNA is filed under the name uncultured eukaryote. RNAcentral describes it as "partial 18S ribosomal RNA". It matches the Rfam family "Eukaryotic small subunit ribosomal RNA", at positions 1470 to 1796 of the family's 1831-position model. The record is from RNAcentral.
CCCUUAGAUGUUCUGGGCCGCACGCGCGCUACACUGACGAAUGCAACGAGCUUAUAACCUUGGCCGAAAGGUCUGGGUAAUCUCCAAAUUUCGUCGUGAUGGGGAUAGAUUAUUGCAAUUAUUAAUCUUCAACGAGGAAUGCCUAGUAAGCGCAAGUCAUCAGCUUGCGUUGAUUACGUCCCUGCCCUUUGUACACACCGCCCGUCGCUCCUACCGAUUGAAUGGUCCGGUGAAAAUUUCGGAUCCUGACAUUGCUGGCGGUUCGCCGCCGGCGACGUCGGGAAAAGAUCUUUAAACCUUAUCAUUUAGAGGAAGGAGAAGUCGUAACA